RNAcentral lists this ribosomal RNA (718 nucleotides) under uncultured bacterium. RNAcentral's name for it is "bacterial SSU rRNA". It matches the Rfam family "Bacterial small subunit ribosomal RNA", at positions 680 to 1398 of the family's 1533-position model. The record is from RNAcentral.
GGUGAAAUGCGUAGAUAUUGGGAAGAACACCAGUGGCGAAGGCGCUCUACUGGGCCGUAACUGACGCUGAGGGACGAAAGCUAGGGGAGCGAAAGGGAUUAGAUACCCCUGUAGUCCUAGCUGUAAACGAUGGAUACUAGGUGUUGGAUGUAUCGACCCAUUCAGUACCGUAGCCAACGCGAUAAGUAUCCCGCCUGGGGAGUACGCACGCAAGUGUGAAACUCAAAGGAAUUGACGGGGGCCCGCACAAGCGGUGGAGUAUGUGGUUUAAUUCGAUGCAACGCGAAGAACCUUACCAGGGCUUGACAUCCCGCGAACCUUGAUGAAAGUUGAGGGUGCCUUCGGGAGCGCGGAGACAGGUGGUGCAUGGCUGUCGUCAGCUCGUGUCGUGAGAUGUUGGGUUAAGUCCCGCAACGAGCGCAACCCACGUCCUUAGUUGCCAUCAUUAAGUUGGGCACUCUGGGGAGACUGCCGGGGACAACUCGGAGGAAGGUGUGGAUGACGUCAAGUCAUCAUGCCCCUUACGUUCUGGGCUACACACGUACUACAAUGCUUCGGACAAAGGGCAGCGAACCUGCGAGGGUGAGCUAAUCUCAUAAACCGAGGCACAGUUCAGAUUGCAGGCUGCAACUCGCCUGCAUGAAGGAGGAAUCGCUAGUAAUCGCCGGUCAGCAUACGGCGGUGAAUACGUUCCCGGGCCUUGCACACACUGCCCGUC